RNAcentral lists this ribosomal RNA (253 nucleotides) under uncultured bacterium. Its description in RNAcentral is "partial 16S ribosomal RNA". It matches the Rfam family "Bacterial small subunit ribosomal RNA", at positions 524 to 776 of the family's 1533-position model. The record is from RNAcentral.
UACGUAGGGGGCGAGCGUUGUCCGGAUUUAUUGGGCGUAAAGAGCGUGUAGGCGGUUCGGUAAGUCUGUCGUGAAAUCCUGAGGCUCAACCUCGGGCGUGCGAUGGAUACUGCCGGGCUAGAGGGUGGUAGAGGCGAGUGGAAUUCCCGGUGUAGCGGUGAAAUGCGCAGAUAUCGGGAGGAACGCCAGUAGCGAAGGCGGCUCGCUGGGCCACACCUGACGCUGAGACGCGAAAGCUAGGGGAGCGAACAGG